UAAAUUGAGAGUUUGAUCCUGGCUCAGGAUGAACGCUGGCGGCGUGCUUAACACAUGCAAGUCGAGCGAUGAAGUUUCCUUCGGGAAACGGAUUAGCGGCGGACGGGUGAGUAACACGUGGGUAACCUGCCUCAUAGAGUGGAAUAGCCUUCCGAAAGGAAGAUUAAUACCGCAUAAUGUUGAAAGAUGGCAUCAUCAUUCAACCAAAGGAGCAAUCCGCUAUGAGAUGGACCCGCGGCGCAUUAGCUAGUUGGUGGGGUAACGGCCUACCAAGGCGACGAUGCGUAGCCGACCUGAGAGGGUGAUCGGCCACAUUGGGACUGAGACA
Molecule: ribosomal RNA, 328 nt
Filed under: Clostridium perfringens
Lineage: Bacteria; Bacillati; Bacillota; Clostridia; Eubacteriales; Clostridiaceae
Description: bacterial SSU rRNA
Rfam family: Bacterial small subunit ribosomal RNA
Source: RNAcentral